Molecule: long non-coding RNA, 678 nt
Organism: Gymnodraco acuticeps
Lineage: Eukaryota; Metazoa; Chordata; Actinopteri; Perciformes; Bathydraconidae
Exons: 4
Source: RefSeq, a predicted model, not a curated record
AGAGAGAACGAACAAGAGGAAAGAAAGUUCAUUUAAGUGGAGAAAGAUAUAAGAAGAUGUACUGUCCAUUCUGUGGUUCCAGCGUGACAUCUUCGCAUGGCUUUUGUGGUGUCUGUGGCAGAGACAUCACAUUUCUAAAAGAUGUGGCUAACAAAGUCCCUGCGGAGAUGCCCACCACUAGUGCGCAUCUAAGUGCACAGCCUAGCACCAGUGCAGCAGGAAGCUCAGCUGUAGAGUCCUUUCAGAAAUAUAGGGAAAUAAAAAAGAGGGAGAGACCUUUUUUACAAAGGGACGGCAUAACUCCAAAAAUAAACAGAAAUUGGUGAAGAUUUCUGUUGGAGUAAUGAGGAGGAUGGAUGGCUGCCUUAAACCUUUGAGAGGGAGGUCACUUCCCCUUAAUGUCGAACCUCAAUGGGCAUGUGAAGAACUGUUGGCUGCUGCCAUAAAAAAGCAGAAAGCCUUUAACCAGGACUUGGAAGAUGGUGCCCAUGUCUUGUUGUACCCUGAUGCGAGGGUGAUAACAAAUAUCCCCGGAACGGACACCCCUUUCACAGUACAGAUGUACAAAGAGGCCAUUCCCAUAUAUUCCCCCUUGUUUAAAGCACUAAACUGUAUAAUAGUUCAAAUGUAAACAUAACAGUUGUUCUGUCUAUAUUUCUUAACACAAUUCAUUCCACC